This is a transfer RNA of Felis catus (domestic cat), 85 nucleotides long. It matches the Rfam family "tRNA". Rfam says of the family: Transfer RNA (tRNA) molecules are approximately 80 nucleotides in length. Their secondary structure includes four short double-helical elements and three loops (D, anti-codon, and T loops). The record is from Rfam. Lineage: Eukaryota; Metazoa; Chordata; Mammalia; Carnivora; Felidae.
GCCUGGGUGGCUCAGUUGGUUAAGCAUCCGACUUCAGCUCAGGUCAUGAUCUCAUGGUUUGUGGGUUCGAACCCUGCAUCAGGCU